AGCACUUGCAUAUCAAAAUCUUUAAUUGAAGAGUUUGAUCAUGGCUCAGAUUGAACGCUGGCGGCAGGCCUAACACAUGCAAGUCGAGCGGUAACAUUUCUAGCUU
This 106-nucleotide ribosomal RNA is filed under the name Aliidiomarina maris. RNAcentral's name for it is "partial 16S ribosomal RNA". The stretch from base 23 to 106 matches the Rfam family "Bacterial small subunit ribosomal RNA", at positions 1 to 82 of the family's 1533-position model. Lineage: Bacteria; Pseudomonadati; Pseudomonadota; Gammaproteobacteria; Alteromonadales; Idiomarinaceae. The record is from RNAcentral.